GAUCAAGUGUCUUAAGGGCAAUUGGUGGAUGCCUUGGCAUGCACAGGCGAUGAAGGACGUGAUACGCUGCGAUAAGCUACGGGGAGGUGCGAAUACCCUUUGAUCCGUAGAUUUCCGAAUGGGGAAACCCACCUAAGGUGCUUGGAAAAUCAGAGCAGCAGGUAAUUGGCGCGAGAUCCCAAAAGGAUUGAGCGUUAAGCGACGAUCUCUUUGAGAUCGCGCAGACUUGCUGCUGUGGUUUCCAAGUAUCUGUUAUAGGUAACUUAUCCUGAAUACAUAGGGAUAAAGUGGCGAACGCGGGGAACUGAAACAUCUAAGUACCCGUAGGAAAGGACAUCAACCGAGACUCCGGCAGUAGUGGCGAGCGAACCCGGACCAGGCCAGUGGCGAUGAUGAGACAAGCGGAACCUUCUGGAAAGUAGGGCCAUAGUGGGUGACAGCCCCGUACGCGUAAUGCAAAUCAUCGUCCUCGAGUAAGGCGGGACACGUGAAAUCCUGUCUGAAAUUGGGGGGACCACCCUCCAAGCCUAAGUACUCGUGCAUGACCGAUAGCGAACUAGUACCGUGAGGGAAAGGUGAAAAGCACCCCGACAAGGGGAGUGAAAGAGUACCUGAAACCGAUUGCCUACAAACAGUGGGAGUCCAAGGUUCGUCCUGGGUGACCACGUACCUUUUGUAUAAUGGGUCAGCGACUUAGUGUGACGAGCAAGCUUAAACCGCUAGGUGUAGGCGCAGCGAAAGCGAGUCUGAACAGGGCGUUCAGUUCGUCGCAUUAGACCCGAAACCGAGUGAUCUAGCCAUGAGCAGGUUGAAGGUAAGGUAACACUUACUGGAGGACCGAACCCAUAACUGUUGCAAUAGUUCGGGAUGACUUGUGGCUAGGGGUGAAAGGCCAAUCAAACUCGGAAAUAGCUGGUUCUCCGCGAAAUCUAUUUAGGUAGAGCGUCGACCGAAUACCCCAGGGGGUAGAGCACUGGAUGGGCUAGGGGUCCUCACCGGAUUACCAAACCUAACCAAACUCCGAAUACCUGGGAGUACUAGUCGGCAGACACACGGCGGGUGCUAACGUCCGUCGUGAAAAGGGAAACAACCCUGACCUACAGCUAAGGUCCCCAAGUUAUGGCUAAGUGGGAAAGGAUGUGAGGAUCCCAAAACAACCAGGAUGUUGGCUUAGAAGCAGCCAUCAUUUAAAGAAAGCGUAACAGCUCACUGGUCUAAAUAAGGGUCUUUGCGCCGAAAAUGUAACGGGGCUCAAGCCAUACACCGAAGCUUAGGGUUCGUGAGCAAUCACGAGCGGUAGCGGAGCGUUCUGUAAGCUGAUGAAGCCAUACCCGUGAGGGGUGGUGGAGGUAUCAGAAGUGCGAAUGCUGACAUGAGUAACGUAAGGGGAGUGAGAGACUCCCCCGCCGAAAGUCCAAGGGUUCCUGCUUAAAGCUAAUCUGAGCAGGGUUAGCCGGCCCCUAAGUCGAGGCAGAAAUGCGUAGACGAUGGGAACCACGUUAAUAUUCGUGGGCCUGGAGGAAGUGACGGAUCAUUGAGGUAGUCCAAUCUUAUCGGAUUGAACGGGCUGCUGCGUGGUUCCAGGAAAUAGCUCCUCCUUAUAGACCGUACCCGAAACCGACACUGGUGGACUGGUAGAGUAUACCAAGGCGCUUGAGAGAACUAUGCUGAAGGAACUCGGCAAAUUGCACGCGUAACUUCGGAAGAAGCGUGACCCUUUUCCACGCAAGUGGAGGAGGGUGGCACAGACCAGGGGGUAGCGACUGUUUAUCAAAAACACAGGGCUCUGCGAAGUCGCAAGACGACGUAUAGGGUCUGACGCCUGCCCGGUGCUGGAAGGUUAAGAGGAGGGGUGCAAGCUCUGAAUCGAAGCCCCAGUAAACGGCGGCCGUAACUAUAACGGUCCUAAGGUAGCGAAAUUCCUUGUCGGGUAAGUUCCGACCUGCACGAAUGGCGUAACGACUUCCCCGCUGUCUCCAGCAUAGACUCAGUGAAAUUGAAUUCCCCGUGAAGAUGCGGGGUUCCUGCGGUUAGACGGAAAGACCCCGUGCACCUUUACUAUAGCUUUACAUUGGCAUUCGUAGUGGCAUGUGUAGGAUAGGUGGUAGGCUUUGAAACCUGGGCGCCAGCUCAGGUGGAGCCACCCUUGAAAUACCACCCUUAUCACUAUGGAUGUCUAACCGCGGCCCGUCAUCCGGGUCCGGGACAAUGUAUGGUGGGUAGUUUGACUGGGGCGGUCGCCUCCUAAAGAGUAACGGAGGCGCGCGAUGGUGGGCUCAGAACGGUCGGAAAUCGUUCGCUGAGUGCAAUGGCAUAAGCCUGCCUGACUGCGAGACUGACAAGUCGAGCAGAGACGAAAGUCGGUCAUAGUGAUCCGGUGGUCCCGCGUGGAAGGGCCAUCGCUCAACGGAUAAAAGGUACGCCGGGGAUAACAGGCUGAUGACCCCCAAGAGUCCAUAUCGACGGGGUUGUUUGGCACCUCGAUGUCGACUCAUCGCAUCCUGGGGCUGGAGCAGGUCCCAAGGGUAUGGCUGUUCGCCAUUUAAAGCGGUACGUGAGUUGGGUUCAGAACGUCGUGAGACAGUUCGGUCCCUAUCUGCCGUGGGUGUAGGAAUAUUGAAAGGAUCUGUCCCUAGUACGAGAGGACCGGGAUGGACGGAUCUCUGGUGGACCUGUUGUGGCGCCAGCCGCAUAGCAGGGUAGCUAUAUCCGGACGGGAUAACCGCUGAAGGCAUCUAAGCGGGAAACCCACCUUAAAACGAGUAUUCCCUGAGAACCGUGGAAGACGACCACGUUGAUAGGNGAAGGCAUCUAAGCGGGAAACCCACCUUAAAACGAGUAUUCCCUGAGAACCGUGGAAGACGACCACGUUGAUAGGCCGGGUGUGGAAGAGCGGCAACGCUUGAAGCUUACCGGUACUAAUAGUUCGAUCGGCUUGAUCGU
Mesorhizobium sp. L48C026A00 is the source of this 2943-nucleotide non-coding RNA. Lineage: Bacteria; Pseudomonadati; Pseudomonadota; Alphaproteobacteria; Hyphomicrobiales; Phyllobacteriaceae. The record is from Rfam.